GUGUAAUGCAGACUUAUAAAGAUAAAAGCCAGGAGGAGUUGAGGUUUGAGGACUACCAGUUAGGUGAUAAAGGUGAGGAAUGGCAUAAUAGAUGCUACACUUAAUACUGCCAAUUUCAUGAAAGGAGAGAUAUCAUAUUUACUUUUCGAGAGCAGCGAAGCGGCUUUGAAUUGGUCGAAAAGCUAAAUCUUCCCAUUGUGAAAGUAGUUAUGCACAUUGAGCUGUACUCUUCUCCAAAAAUGUUAGUAAUAACUGCAAUAUCUCAGUGGAAUUUCUUAUGGAACAUUAGCCUUUAAGACCAAAUACACUCAGAAGAAAGACCACUUAAGCUAUUGCCUGGGGAUGACCUAUAGACACUCUUUGAAUAUGUUUUUCCCAUGAUUUCUCUGCCAAAUGGAUUAAGUACAGCUUUCUUUCUCACCUGUGGUCCAGGGACAUUAGCCUUUAAUGCAGCAACAAAUGCUACAUCUGGUCAAACACAAAACAAAUCUCCGGG
This is a long non-coding RNA of Solanum dulcamara, 496 nucleotides long. RefSeq lists it as uncharacterized. The transcript is spliced from 4 exons. The record is from RefSeq and is a predicted model, not a curated record. NCBI's taxonomy places the organism in Eukaryota, Viridiplantae, Streptophyta, Magnoliopsida, Solanales, Solanaceae.